CAAUAGCGUAUAUUAAAGUUGUUGCAGUUAAAAAGCUCGUAGUUGAACUUCAGACCUGGCCGGGCGGUCCGCCUAACGGUGUGUACUGUCUGGCUGGGUCUUACCUCUUGGUGAGCCGGCAUGCCCUUCACUGGGUGUGUCGGGGAACCAGGACUUUUACCUUGAGAAAAUUAGAGUGUUCAAAGCAGGCAUAUGCCCGAAUACAUUAGCAUGGAAUAAUAAAAUAGGACGUGCGGUUCUAUUUUGUUGGUUUCUAGAGUCGCCGUAAUGAUUAAUAGGGAUAGUUGGGGGCAUUAGUAUUCAGUUGCUAGAGGUGAAAUUCUUGGAUUUACUGAAGACUAACUACUGCGAAAGCAUUUGCCAAGGAUGUUUUCAUUA
This 378-nucleotide ribosomal RNA is filed under the name uncultured eukaryote. RNAcentral describes it as "partial 18S ribosomal RNA". It matches the Rfam family "Eukaryotic small subunit ribosomal RNA", at positions 592 to 975 of the family's 1831-position model. The record is from RNAcentral.